AGUGAACGCUGGCGGUAGGCCUAACACAUGCAAGUCGAACGGCAGCACAGUAAGAGCUUGCUCUUACGGGUGGCGAGUGGCGGACGGGUGAGGAAUACAUCGGAAUCUACUUUUUCGUGGGGGAUAACGAAGGGAAACUUACGCUAAUACCGCAUACGACCUACGGGUGAAAGCAGGGGAUCUUCGGACCUUGCGCGAUUGAAUGAGCCGAUGUCGGAUUAGCUAGUUGGCGGGGUAAAGGCCCACCAAGGCGACGAUCCGUAGCUGGUCUGGGGGGAUGUUCAGCCACACUGGAGCUGAGACACGGCCCAGACUCCGACGGGAGGCAGCAGUGGGGAAUAUUGGCCAAUGGGCGCAAGCCUGAUCCAGCCAUGCCGCGUGGGUGAAGAAGGCCUGCGGGUUGUAAAGCCCUUUUGUUGGGAAAGAAAAGCAGCAGGUUAAAACCCCGCUGUUCUGACGGUACCCAAAGAAUAAGCACCGGCUAACUUCGU
RNAcentral lists this ribosomal RNA (491 nucleotides) under uncultured bacterium. RNAcentral describes it as "partial 16S ribosomal RNA". It matches the Rfam family "Bacterial small subunit ribosomal RNA", at positions 29 to 506 of the family's 1533-position model. The record is from RNAcentral.